This 200-nucleotide long non-coding RNA is filed under the name Cavia porcellus (domestic guinea pig). RNAcentral describes it as "lncRNA (ENSCPOG00000031906.1)". The record is from RNAcentral. Lineage: Eukaryota; Metazoa; Chordata; Mammalia; Rodentia; Caviidae.
UGGAAAUCAGGCUGAGGAGAGCCAAGCUGUCCAGUGCAUUCGGGAGAUUGGGGACAACAAGCACUUCCAGAGAAGGUCCCAUCCGAGCUCUGGGAGUCCUGCGAGGAGAGCGUCAAUGGUGCAGAUAAUACACUAAUGCCACCCACACUAGAGAAUGGAUGGAAAGCGCUCUUUCAGAAACUACAGGACUAGGAAUGCAG